AUUACUUGAGAGUUGAUUUGAUGCUUUCAGACUUCCUAUUCCUGGGGACACAAAUAGUCAGAGUUUUAGCUAAUCUUUCUUACCUGUGGUUUUGGAAUAGCCUAGUGUUACAGAUACUAGAAUCAAAAAUAAGGCUGUGGUUAGCACCAAAGCCAGAGGCCUUUGCCUUGCUGGGCGUACCCACUCCUGCUCUGCCAUGGCUCAUGUGGUAAAGCUCAACUGCUUGUGGAUAAAG
RNAcentral lists this long non-coding RNA (235 nucleotides) under Anas platyrhynchos platyrhynchos (common mallard). RNAcentral's name for it is "lncRNA (ENSAPLG00000021596.1)". The record is from RNAcentral. Lineage: Eukaryota; Metazoa; Chordata; Aves; Anseriformes; Anatidae.